RNAcentral lists this transfer RNA (76 nucleotides) under Micromonospora sp. AKA109. RNAcentral's name for it is "tRNA-Thr". The record is from RNAcentral. Lineage: Bacteria; Bacillati; Actinomycetota; Actinomycetes; Micromonosporales; Micromonosporaceae.
CGCCGGCCUGGGCCGGCCGGCGUCCGGCGUGGUCGGCCGGUGGUGGCUCGGGUCGUUCGGGCUGGCCGCCGCCGUC